GACGAACGCUGGCGGCGUGCUUAACACAUGCAAGUCGAACGAUGAUGCCAGCUUGCUGGUGGGUUAGUGGCGAACAGGUGAGUAACACGUGAGAAAACUGCCCCUGACUUCGGGAUAACCGCGGGAAACAGUGGCUAAUACCGCAUAUGACGCGCUAUAGCACGGUGGUGUGUGGAGAGAUUUAUUGUUUGGGGAUGGUCUGGCGGCCUAUCAGCUUGUUGGUGGGGUGGUGGCCUACCAAGGCGACGACGGGUAGCCGGCCGGAGAGGGUGACCGGCCAGACUCAGAGUGACAGACAGACCAGACUGCUACGGGAGGGAGCAGGGGGUAAGAAUGCACACAGGGCGGAAGCCUGAUGCAGGGAGGCCGCGUGAGGGAGGGCGGCCUGCGGGUUGUAAGCCUCUUUCAGUAGGGAAGAAGGCCUCCGGGUUGACGGUACCUGCAGAAGAAGCGCCGGCUAACUACGUG
This 468-nucleotide ribosomal RNA is filed under the name uncultured bacterium. RNAcentral describes it as "partial 16S ribosomal RNA". It matches the Rfam family "Bacterial small subunit ribosomal RNA", at positions 28 to 507 of the family's 1533-position model. The record is from RNAcentral.